CUCCUAGCCUCAAGUCAUUCUCUUACCUUGGCCUCCCAAAGUGCUGGGAUUACAGGUGUGAGCCAAGGUGCCUGGCCACCUCACCAUUUUUGCUGACUGAAUCACUUGACUAACCUAACCAUAGCUUGCUACUGAAGAUGCUGGCAACCUAGUAGACAAUACAUCAAGAUGCAAUGAUGCUCCAUGGAAAUGCAAUACCUUCCAUCCAACCAAGAUGCUCCCUAAGGAGGGGGAAGUGAUGCUAUCAGGAAGAUCGUGUAGACUGGUAAGAGAUCCCUCCCACAUUGCUGACUUCAGAACCGCAUUUUGACUACAGAACCACGGCACCUGAGGAGGGGUGCCAGCCACCCUGUGCCCAUGAAACCACGAUGUCUUGCCAGAAGCAGGGCACACUCUGGCCCCAGCUGCGUCAGGGGCUUCAGACUCAUUAAUACUAUUUUCUAUGUUAAAAUAAAUGAUGACGUAUCGGUUCACCUGCAAUGAA
This is a non-coding RNA of Macaca mulatta (Rhesus monkey), 484 nucleotides long. The record is from RefSeq and is a predicted model, not a curated record. Lineage: Eukaryota; Metazoa; Chordata; Mammalia; Primates; Cercopithecidae.